This 962-nucleotide ribosomal RNA is filed under the name archaeon CP.B3. RNAcentral's name for it is "bacterial SSU rRNA". It matches the Rfam family "Archaeal small subunit ribosomal RNA", at positions 351 to 1317 of the family's 1478-position model. The record is from RNAcentral.
CGCAAUGCGGGAAACGCGACGGGGGGACCCCAGUGCCGUGGCAAUGCCACGGCUUUUCCGGAGUGUAAGGAGCUCCGGGAAUAAGGGCUGGGCAAGGCCGGUGGCAGCCGCCGCGGUAAUACCGGCGGCCCGAGUGGUGGCCACUAUUAUUGGGCCUAAAGCGUCCGUAGCCGGGCCCGUAAGUCCCUGGCGAAAUCUCACGGCUCAACCGUGGGGCUCGCUGGGGAUACUGCGGGCCUUGGGACCGGGAGAGGCGGAGGGUACCCCUGGGGUAGGGGUGAAAUCCUAUAAUCCCAGGGGGACCGCCAGUGGCGAAGGCGCUCCGCUGGAACGGGUCCGACGGUGAGGGACGAAGGCCAGGGGAGCAAACCGGAUUAGAUACCCGGGUAGUCCUGGCUGUAAAGGAUGCGGGCUAGGUGUCGGGUGAGCUUCGGGCUCGCCCGGUGCCGGAGGGAAGCCGUUAAGCCCGCCGCCUGGGGAGUACGGCCGCAAGGCUGAAACUUAAAGGAAUUGGCGGGGGAGCACCACAAGGGGUGGAGCGUGCGGUUUAAUUGGAUUCAACGCCGGGAACCUCACCGGGGGCGACGGCAGGAUGAAGGCCAGGCUGAAGGUCUUGCCGGACACGCCGAGAGGAGGUGCAUGGCCGCCGUCAGCUCGUACCGUGAGGCGUCCACUUAAGUGUGGUAACGAGCGAGACCCGUGCCCCCAGUUGCCAGUCCUCCCCGCUGGGGAGGAGGCACUCUGGGGGGACCGCCGGCGAUAAGCCGGAGGAAGGAGCGGGCGACGGUAGGUCAGUAUGCCCCGAAACCCCCGGGCUACACGCGCGCUACAAUGGGCGGGACAAUGGGAUCCGACCCCGAAAGGGGAAGGAAAUCCCCUAAACCCGCCCCCAGUUCGGAUUGCGGGCUGCAACUCGCCCGCAUGAAGCUGGAAUCCCUAGUACCCGCGGUCAUCAUCGCGCG